RNAcentral lists this ribosomal RNA (450 nucleotides) under uncultured bacterium. Its description in RNAcentral is "bacterial SSU rRNA". It matches the Rfam family "Bacterial small subunit ribosomal RNA", at positions 8 to 462 of the family's 1533-position model. The record is from RNAcentral.
AGAGUUUGAUCCUGGCUCAGAUUGAACGCUGGCGGCAGGCCUAACACAUGCAAGUCGAGCGGCAGCGGGCCUUCGGGUGCCGGCGAGCGGCGGACGGGUGAGUAAUACGUGGGAAUCUGCCUAUAGGUGGGGGAUAGCCCGGAGAAAUCCGGAUUAAUACCGCAUAAUACCUGAGGGUUAAAACGGAGGAUCGCAAGACUUCGUGCCUAUAGAUGAGCCCACGUCAGAUUAGCUAGUUGGUGGGGUAAAGGCCUACCAAGGCGACGAUCUGUAGCUGGCCUGAGAGGGUGGCCAGCCACACUGGAACUGAGACACGGUCCAGACUCCUACGGGAGGCAGCAGUGGGGAAUAUUGGACAAUGGGCGCAAGCCUGAUCCAGCCAUGCCGCGUGUGUGAAGAAGGCCUUCGGGUUGUAAAGCACUUUAAGUUGGGAGGAAGGUUGCUUGGCUA